This 722-nucleotide ribosomal RNA is filed under the name bacterium MS-AsIII-56. Its description in RNAcentral is "bacterial SSU rRNA". It matches the Rfam family "Bacterial small subunit ribosomal RNA", at positions 100 to 811 of the family's 1533-position model. The record is from RNAcentral.
GACGGGUGAGUAACACGUGGGCAACCUGCCUGUAAGACUGGGAUAACUCCGGGAAACCGGGGCUAAUACCGGAUAAUUCUUUCCCUCACAUGAGGGAAAGCUGAAAGAUGGUUUCGGCUAUCACUUACAGAUGGGCCCGCGGCGCAUUAGCUAGUUGGUGAGGUAACGGCUCACCAAGCAACGAUGCGUAGCCGACCUGAGAGGGUGAUCGGCCACACUGGGACUGAGACACGGCCCAGACUCCUACGGGAGGCAGCAGUAGGGAAUCUUCCGCAAUGGACGAAAGUCUGACGGAGCAACGCCGCGUGAGUGAUGAAGGUUUUCGGAUCGUAAAACUCUGUUGUUAGGGAAGAACAAGUACCGGAGUAACUGCCGGUACCUUGACGGUACCUAACCAGAAAGCCACGGCUAACUACGUGCCAGCAGCCGCGGUAAUACGUAGGUGGCAAGCGUUGUCCGGAAUUAUUGGGCGUAAAGCGCGCGCAGGCGGUUCCUUAAGUCUGAUGUGAAAGCCCCCGGCUCAACCGGGGAGGGUCAUUGGAAACUGGGGAACUUGAGUGCAGAAGAGAAGAGUGGAAUUCCACGUGUAGCGGUGAAAUGCGUAGAGAUGUGGAGGAACACCAGUGGCGAAGGCGACUCUUUGGUCUGUAACUGACGCUGAGGCGCGAAAGCGUGGGGAGCAAACAGGAUUAGAUACCUGGUAGUCCACGCCGUAAACGAUG